Molecule: non-coding RNA, 1039 nt
Organism: Macaca mulatta (Rhesus monkey)
Lineage: Eukaryota; Metazoa; Chordata; Mammalia; Primates; Cercopithecidae
Source: RefSeq, a predicted model, not a curated record
CCCAGUCUUUCAGAGAACAGUCACAGCAGAAUCUACACAGGCUGGGGAGCCCCUGGCUCCCCUCCUUACUGUCCACACCCAACCCCAACCCAGAGCAGCUGGCGAUAGGGCCCAGAGCCCAGGCGGCUCCCACCCGCUGCUGACCCGACCCAGCGCCCGCUCUCUCCGCCCCCGUCCCCUCCUCCUCCGCACACCUUGGUGACCUGACCCAGCGUCCCUCCCCCCUCCUACACGUGCUGACUGACCCAGCGUCCCUCCGCCUCCCACACCCUGUUGAGCACCACCUUGUCCCCUUCCGCCCCAGCUAACUCGGUGACCAGUGGAGGCCACACCCACGUGACACCUGCUGUCCUUGACAGCAGCUCCGACAGCACCUCUGUGGCUCCGCAGGAGCCGCCUCCCUGCCUCGUGGGCACACAGGCGUCCCACUCUGCAUCAGAGCAGCUGUCUUUCACUGCACUCUGCGACUCCCUUGAGCUCCUCCCUGCGCAAGAUCCGAGAACCCUCUCUUGGGGUCUGGACUGGACCUCUUUCUCCAGCAGCAUUGGGUUCCUCGGAUUCACGCUCACAGCACACUGAGGCCUGUCUUACAAAGAACGAACUGAGGCUUAGAAAGAUGAAACCAAAACCUCCUCAGUCACGUGGCUGAAAAUCGUUGACUCCACCUGUGACCUGGACACCUCCCACCUCCAUCCCUGGAAUUGUGUCACCUUUCUGGACCAAACCACUGGACACCUUACACGUAUCGACUGGCAAUGUGUACACCUCCACACACUGCUAAAUGACAAAGCUGAAUUUUGAAAUACGAUGCCGUGAGGUGUUUGGAGAAGACACAACUGAAAUGAUGUCAUGGAGGUGGCAGGGGAUCGUCUUGCCCUUUUCUUUUUUUCUGCCUGUAACUUCUGUCCCCCUAAAAUGCAUAAAAUCAAGCUGGAAUCCAGCCACCUUAUGCACCAGUUCUUAGGACCUCCUGGGGUUGUGUCACCAAUCAUGGUCCUCAUAUUUGGCUCAGAAUAAAUCUCAUCAAAUAUUUUACAAA